CCUACGGGGCGCACCAGUGGGGAAUAUUGGACAAUGGGCGAAAGCCUGACCCGGCAAUGCCGCGUGUGUGAAGAAGGUCUUCGGAUUGUAAAGCACUUUCGACGAGGACGAUGAUGACGGUACCCGUAGAAGAAGCCCCGGCUAACUUCGUGCCAGCAGCCGCGGUAAUACGAAGGGGGCUAGCGUUGCUCGGAAUGACUGGGCGUAAAGGGCGCGUAGGCGGUUUCUGCAGUCAGAUGUGAAAUCCCCGGGCUUAACCUGGGAACUGCAUUUGAGACGCAUAGACUAGAGGUCGAGAGAGGGUUGUGGAAUUCCCAGUGUAGAGGUGAAAUUCGUAGAUAUUGGGAAGAACACCGGUGGCGAGGGCGGCAACCUGGCUCGAUACUGACGCUGAGGCGCGAAAGCGUGGGGAGCAAACAGGAUUAGAUACCCGGGUAGUC
RNAcentral lists this ribosomal RNA (440 nucleotides) under uncultured bacterium. RNAcentral describes it as "bacterial SSU rRNA". It matches the Rfam family "Bacterial small subunit ribosomal RNA", at positions 338 to 795 of the family's 1533-position model. The record is from RNAcentral.